Molecule: long non-coding RNA, 606 nt
Filed under: Cyanistes caeruleus (blue tit)
Lineage: Eukaryota; Metazoa; Chordata; Aves; Passeriformes; Paridae
Description: lncRNA (ENSCCEG00000009346.1)
Source: RNAcentral
AAAGAUUUCCCCUGAGGCUCAUGGGAGCUGCCUGUAUCCUGAGGCUGGAGGAGGGGGUCUGCAGAUACAUUCUGGCAGUUUCUGUUCUGAAUUUUGAUGAUUGUCUAUUGAAAAAUUGCAUGGGCCAUCCUGUGUCAAGACAAUCAUUGCUGUCUCCUCCUUUUAGAAGGAACAAACACUGUAUCAACACUGUGCAGAUGUGUUUUAACCCAGCAGAAUAUUUCAGUGAGUUUUAUGGCCUCAUUUUCCACUAAAGUUGUGCCCGGACAGUGCAAAGCAGAACUGUGGGAGAAGGACUUGAGACCAGCUCUGAGCAAGCAGGAGUAUCUCCACUGCUCAGCACUGCAACAUGUUGUCAAAAUUAUUGACAGCAUUUUGGGGAUGCCAGAAUAUUGGCACAGUGUGGAUGGGGCUAUUUCAGGGAUCUUUCCACCAAGUGGCAGAGAUGUAACCGAGCUACAUUAGUAGCAGCCCAAACAAGCAGUAACAAAAGUUUAAUGGCACAGGGAAACUAGUAAAAAUACCAAAGUUGAUGGUUUUCUUCCAACAAUCAGAAGCAUUCAAAAUUAGAAAUAUUGAAUAAAUAGAAAGAAUGACUUAGUGUCA